This 1393-nucleotide ribosomal RNA is filed under the name Lactiplantibacillus plantarum. RNAcentral describes it as "bacterial SSU rRNA". It matches the Rfam family "Bacterial small subunit ribosomal RNA", at positions 70 to 1430 of the family's 1533-position model. Lineage: Bacteria; Bacillati; Bacillota; Bacilli; Lactobacillales; Lactobacillaceae. The record is from RNAcentral.
CUCUGGUAUUGAUUGGUGCUUGCAUCAUGAUUUACAUUUGAGUGAGUGGCGAACUGGUGAGUAACACGUGGGAAACCUGCCCAGAAGCGGGGGAUAACACCUGGAAACAGAUGCUAAUACCGCAUAACAACUUGGACCGCAUGGUCCGAGUUUGAAAGAUGGCUUCGGCUAUCACUUUUGGAUGGUCCCGCGGCGUAUUAGCUAGAUGGUGAGGUAACGGCUCACCAUGGCAAUGAUACGUAGCCGACCUGAGAGGGUAAUCGGCCACAUUGGGACUGAGACACGGCCCAAACUCCUACGGGAGGCAGCAGUAGGGAAUCUUCCACAAUGGACGAAAGUCUGAUGGAGCAACGCCGCGUGAGUGAAGAAGGGUUUCGGCUCGUAAAACUCUGUUGUUAAAGAAGAACAUAUCUGAGAGUAACUGUUCAGGUAUUGACGGUAUUUAACCAGAAAGCCACGGCUAACUACGUGCCAGCAGCCGCGGUAAUACGUAGGUGGCAAGCGUUGUCCGGAUUUAUUGGGCGUAAAGCGAGCGCAGGCGGUUUUUUAAGUCUGAUGUGAAAGCCUUCGGCUCAACCGAAGAAGUGCAUCGGAAACUGGGAAACUUGAGUGCAGAAGAGGACAGUGGAACUCCAUGUGUAGCGGUGAAAUGCGUAGAUAUAUGGAAGAACACCAGUGGCGAAGGCGGCUGUCUGGUCUGUAACUGACGCUGAGGCUCGAAAGUAUGGGUAGCAAACAGGAUUAGAUACCCUGGUAGUCCAUACCGUAAACGAUGAAUGCUAAGUGUUGGAGGGUUUCCGCCCUUCAGUGCUGCAGCUAACGCAUUAAGCAUUCCGCCUGGGGAGUACGGCCGCAAGGCUGAAACUCAAAGGAAUUGACGGGGGCCCGCACAAGCGGUGGAGCAUGUGGUUUAAUUCGAAGCUACGCGAAGAACCUUACCAGGUCUUGACAUACUAUGCAAAUCUAAGAGAUUAGACGUUCCCUUCGGGGACAUGGAUACAGGUGGUGCAUGGUUGUCGUCAGCUCGUGUCGUGAGAUGUUGGGUUAAGUCCCGCAACGAGCGCAACCCUUAUUAUCAGUUGCCAGCAUUAAGUUGGGCACUCUGGUGAGACUGCCGGUGACAAACCGGAGGAAGGUGGGGAUGACGUCAAAUCAUCAUGCCCCUUAUGACCUGGGCUACACACGUGCUACAAUGGAUGGUACAACGAGUUGCGAACUCGCGAGAGUAAGCUAAUCUCUUAAAGCCAUUCUCAGUUCGGAUUGUAGGCUGCAACUCGCCUACAUGAAGUCGGAAUCGCUAGUAAUCGCGGAUCAGCAUGCCGCGGUGAAUACGUUCCCGGGCCUUGUACACACCGCCCGUCACACCAUGAGAGUUUGUAACACCCAAAGUCGG